GUGCUCACUUUGGCAGCACAUAUACUAAAAUUGGAACAAUACAGAGAAGAUUAGCAUGGCCUCUGUGCAAGGAUGACACGCAAAUUCAUGAAGCAUUCUGUAUUUUU
RNAcentral lists this small nuclear RNA (107 nucleotides) under Phocoena sinus (vaquita). Lineage: Eukaryota; Metazoa; Chordata; Mammalia; Artiodactyla; Phocoenidae. The record is from RNAcentral. RNAcentral also lists the same sequence under 1 other name.